This 90-nucleotide transfer RNA is filed under the name Bacteroidetes bacterium ADurb.Bin037. RNAcentral's name for it is "tRNA-Ser". It matches the Rfam family "tRNA". From Rfam's summary of the family: Transfer RNA (tRNA) molecules are approximately 80 nucleotides in length. Their secondary structure includes four short double-helical elements and three loops (D, anti-codon, and T loops). Further hydrogen bonds mediate the characteristic L-shaped molecular structure. tRNAs have two regions of fundamental functional importance: the anti-codon, which is responsible for specific mRNA codon recognition, and the 3' end, to which the tRNAs corresponding amino acid is attached (by aminoacyl-tRNA synthetases). tRNAs cope with the degeneracy of the genetic code in two manners: having more than one tRNA (with a specific anti-codon) for a particular amino acid; and 'wobble' base-pairing, i.e. permitting non-standard base-pairing at the 3rd anti-codon position. Lineage: Bacteria; Pseudomonadati; Bacteroidota. RNAcentral also lists the same sequence under 1 other name. The record is from RNAcentral.
GGUGAGGUGGGUGAGUGGCUGAAACCAUCAGUUUGCUAAACUGACGUACUCGCGAGGGUAUCGGGGGUUCGAAUCCCCCCCUCACCGCCA